UGGCUAACGCCAGUCAGUGCCAGGCCAAAGGACAUUUCCAAUUUAUUUACGCUCAGAGGCACUUUGUCUGCCUUGCCUGCGCCAUGGCUUCAGCUCUCCUUCCUCAACUUCUUCUUUCCAUGCCGCUCUCUUUGCUCUGCUACGCUUUUUGCACUGCGUAUGACAGUAUUUGUGUAGUCUGUCAGCCAGAAAGAGUCCGAGAUGGCGAACGGGGCAGCACGGGGUCCGACUCUCUAGAAUAGUUCCCUUCUGUUUUUUUUCGUACUUCAGAGAGCUUCGCUCACAUUUUGACAGCAAAAUGUUCCUUCUGGUUGUGUUAGUGUGAAAAGUGUUGAAAGGCCAGAGUACAUGCAGAGUACAAUGCAGCAAAUGUGGCAAAGACAAGAACUCACAGCACCAUGAAGAUGUCCUCUGUUCUGGUCAGUUUAUUUGGGCGAUGCAAUUUAGGACUAACAGGACAACGAAGCUAUCGCUCAUCCUUCCUAUUAUGGUCUUUUUUUUCAAAUUUGUUGAACACAUUUAUUUGUUUUAAUUUAUUAAAUUGCUAAUAGAA
Molecule: long non-coding RNA, 553 nt
Organism: Drosophila montana
Lineage: Eukaryota; Metazoa; Arthropoda; Insecta; Diptera; Drosophilidae
Exons: 2
Source: RefSeq, a predicted model, not a curated record